This 212-nucleotide ribosomal RNA is filed under the name Platynocheilus cuprifrons. RNAcentral describes it as "partial 28S ribosomal RNA". It matches the Rfam family "Eukaryotic large subunit ribosomal RNA", at positions 967 to 1163 of the family's 3401-position model. Lineage: Eukaryota; Metazoa; Arthropoda; Insecta; Hymenoptera; Tetracampidae. The record is from RNAcentral.
UUUCCCUCAGGAUAGCUGGCACUCGCUUGAGCGAGUCUCAUCUGGUAAAGCGAAUGAUUAGAGGCCUUGGGGCCGAAACGACCUCAACCUAUUCUCAAACUUUAAGUGGGUGAGAUCUCUGGCUUGCUUGAACGUUGAAGCCACGAGAUUAAUCAUAAUGGAUCAGAGUGCCAAGUGGGCCAAUUUUGGUAAGCAGAACUGGCGCUGUGGGA